AUAUUAAGUUUCUUGGAGACGUUUCCUGACUUUGGAACUACCAUCAGGCAUACUUGACUAUCCCAAGGUGUGGUCUUUUCUGUUUCAGCUCUGGUUAUUUCAUUUCACAAGCCUCAAGCUUUUCGGACUUAUCAGUAGGCCAUACCUAAACUAGCCUGUGUAUCUUAGUAACCUUCCCACUUCCACUGUUGCUCAAGUAAAACCAUGCUGUUACACGCACCAGCUUGUCCAUUAAUUCCUCUUUUCCUGUGACUUUUUCACCAAACUGAACAUAUCCCAACUUCUUUCCAGGCCACUUGAUUGCUCCUGGAGUUUGUGCAUCAUUAUCACCCGAGUGGCCUUCUUAAGUAAAAAACCAGAUCCUGGGCUACCCUACAGCUGGACCUUUGCAAUCAGACAAACUAGGCACGUUUCA
RNAcentral lists this long non-coding RNA (415 nucleotides) under Homo sapiens (human). RNAcentral describes it as "non-protein coding lnc-ARID2-10:1". The record is from RNAcentral. Lineage: Eukaryota; Metazoa; Chordata; Mammalia; Primates; Hominidae.